This is a long non-coding RNA of Neofelis nebulosa (Clouded leopard), 651 nucleotides long. RefSeq lists it as uncharacterized. NCBI's taxonomy places the organism in Eukaryota, Metazoa, Chordata, Mammalia, Carnivora, Felidae. The record is from RefSeq and is a predicted model, not a curated record. The transcript has 2 exons.
UACUGCCAACAGGAGGCUGCAGUCCCUGCCUGGGAUCCUAACCUCCACUCACCAGCUGGUAAAGCAAGCCCUAGAACUCCACCUGGCGUAGGUCCCUAUUCUCAGGAGAUCAAAGAGCCACUGCAGCAAGUAGAGAGCUGCAAGGUAACAUUAUUAGUUACUUGUAAACAGUGUACCAAGAUGCCUUAAGGGAUUGGUUUCCAGGAGAUGUCUGCAUUUUAAUCAUGGCUCCAAAGAUUAACUAGGAAUACGUGUUUGGGUAUGGCAUGGAGAAGAUGAUCCCUCAUGCUCAAUUACGGUUUAAGUAAUUGUGCUCAGCGAACGAAGAAUACAUUGGAAGGCAUUUCUCCUGGACAUCUCACUAGAGAUCAGACACUGUGCGGAGUAUUCACCAUAUAUUCAUGUAACUGGGUAUAUAGUGACCAAUCCUUUCAACCAUUAGGAGGAAAAUGUUACUCCCAGUUUAUACAUGGGAAACUGAGGUCCUGGGGCUGAAUUCUCUCUCUCAUUCCAGAUGUUAAUGAGUCGAGCCCGAUUCUAAAAGCCCAUUAACUUUCCAAUGCCUCUGUCCAUCAUGCCUGGACUUUACCCAUCAGGCUCACGUGGACAGGAGAGGAUCAAUGUCCUAGGUUUGAAGAAUACAGAUAAAAA